CCUACGGGAGGCAGCAGUGAGGAAUAUUGGUCAAUGGACGAGAGUCUGAACCAGCCAAGUAGCGUGAAGGAUGACUGCCCUAUGGGUUGUAAACUUCUUUUAUAAAGGAAUAAAACGAGGCACGUGUGCCUUUUUGCAUGUACUUUAUGAAUAAGGAUCGGCUAACUCCGUGCCAGCAGCCGCGGUAAUACGGAGGAUCCGAGCGUUAUCCGGAUUUGUUGGGUUUAAAGGGAGCGUAGAUGGGUUGUUAAGUCAGUUGUGAAAGUUUGCGGCUCAACCGUAAAAUUGCAAUUGAUACUGGCAGUCUUGAGUACAGUUGAGGUAAGCGGAAUUCGUGGUGUAGCGGUGAAAUGCUUAGAUAUCACGAAGAACCCCGAUUGCGAAGGCAGCUUACUAAACUGUGACUGACAUUGAUGCUCGAAAGUGUGGGUAUCAAACAGGAUUAGAUACCCGGGUAGUC
Molecule: ribosomal RNA, 460 nt
Filed under: uncultured bacterium
Lineage: Bacteria
Description: partial 16S ribosomal RNA
Rfam family: Bacterial small subunit ribosomal RNA
Source: RNAcentral